This 1241-nucleotide long non-coding RNA is filed under the name Numida meleagris (helmeted guineafowl). RNAcentral describes it as "lncRNA (ENSNMEG00000001455.1)". Lineage: Eukaryota; Metazoa; Chordata; Aves; Galliformes; Numididae. The record is from RNAcentral.
CUCUUGAGAGUGUUAAAGUCCUGAUGUUACAUAUUUUUGUAACUAGCAGGGCAUAUUAACCACUGUGUGAAGCCUGAGCUACCCAAACAGCCUUCACAGCCACAUGGACUAUAAGCAAGGAGUCAGUUUGUAGAAGCUUGGCGUUAUGGACAAGGCAAUUCUGAAUUUCUUCUGCAAAAAUGAAGUGGCAUACUAUGACAAAUCUAUCACCUGCUCCAGGAAUACUUGCAUUGCUAACUGAAAAGCUGGAAUUUCUCUUGCAGAGACAAGAUCACUCCUGUAGUUCUUUACUAAAGAAAUUUCCAGUAUGGUAUGAACUCUUUGUUCUAGACUAGAACAGUCUGCAUCAUCUGUCUCUUGUCUCCUCUGUCAUGUUCACUCCAUCAAAUCAAGGGAUUAGGAGUCGUCUUAAUACUUUUGUUUCCUGUCCAUACUGCUCCUACAAGGAGACUGAUCUACAGGAGAUGCCAUUAGAUUCUGGUGACUUACAGUGGCCAAAGACAUGCUUUCCUAGCAUGACGCACAGCAGAGCUGGUGAUGAAGAGGCUUCCUGCACACAUGUAUCUGGAAUCAUCAAGGUCAAGGGCUUGUUGUCACUUCUCGGACUGAUCUGGAUGGCCAAGAGGUAAUGGCCUUAAGUUGUGCCAGGGGAGAUUCAGGUUGGAUAUUAGGAAAAAGUUCUUUGAAAGAGUGGUGAAGCAUUGGAACAGGCUGCCUAGGGAUGUGGUGGAGUCACUGUCUCUGAAGGUGUUCAAGACAAGGGCAGCUGUGGCAGUGAGGGACAUGGUUUAGUGGGCAUGGUGGUGGUGGGUUGAUGUUUGGGCUAGACAACCUUCAUGGUCUUUUCCAACCUUAAUGAUUCUAUAAUUCCAUAGACGCCUAUGAAUUGUCAUGGUUAAGUCACAUGAUUCCCUCAGCCAUACUGCAACAUCCAUCAUUGUGCUGUGAUAUAAGGUGAAGAAAUGGAAGGUUCAACCCAACAGACCAGUGCUUACAGAUGGGCCCCUGCACUUCUGGUUUCUCUAAUUCAGGUGUGAACAUUGGAGUCCUCUGUGCUGCACCAGGCAGAAUGUGCAUGUGUAGGGUUGUGACACCCUGGUGGGACAUUUCUUUCACAUGUCAGCAUGAUUGACAGCCAACUGCCAUCCCCAUAUCACAUUCAUGUAACAAUGGCCUGGAUUUCACCUGAGCAACAGAGGAAUCUGUUGGAGAGAUUUGAGCCAGGUGGGUAAGAAGCUGAU